Molecule: transfer RNA, 76 nt
Filed under: Saccharomyces cerevisiae (brewer's yeast)
Lineage: Eukaryota; Fungi; Ascomycota; Saccharomycetes; Saccharomycetales; Saccharomycetaceae
Source: RNAcentral
GACUCCAUGGCCAAGUUGGUUAAGGCGUGCGAAUGUUAAUCGCAAGAUCGUGAGUUCAACCCUCGACACUACGUCG